GACGAACGCUGGCGGCGUGCUUAACACAUGCAAGUCGAACGAAGUGGCGAACGGGUGAGUAACGCGUAAUCAACCUGCCCUUCAGUGGGGGCCAACAGUUGGAAACGACUGCUAAUACCGCAUACUGAAGGAGGGGAUGGAGUCUGAUUAGCUAGUUGGAGUGGUAACGGCCCACCAAGGCGAUGAUCAGUAGCCGGUCUGGUAGGAUGGACAGCCACAUUGGGACUGGGGAAAGGCCCAGACUCCUACGGGAGGCAACAGUGGGGAAACUUCCGCAAUGGACGGAAGGCUGACGGAGCAACGCCGCGUGAGGUGUGACGGCCUUCGGGUUGUAAAGCUCUGUUAAUCGGGACGCGGUACCGGAAUAGAAAGCCACGGCUAACUACGUGCCAGCAGCCGCGGUAAUUC
RNAcentral lists this ribosomal RNA (408 nucleotides) under uncultured bacterium. Its description in RNAcentral is "partial 16S ribosomal RNA". It matches the Rfam family "Bacterial small subunit ribosomal RNA", at positions 28 to 526 of the family's 1533-position model. The record is from RNAcentral.